CUCUCCUUCCCCCACCCACAGGACUGCGAGGACCGGGUGCGCGCCGACAUCCGCCACUUCCUCACCAUCCGCCAGGACGAGAAGUUCUCGGGCCGGGCCGUCGCCAGGAUCUUCCACGGCAUCGACAGCCCCUGCUACCCGGCCCAGGUCUACGGGCGCGACCGCCGCUUCUGGAGGCGCCACCUCCGCUUCGACUUCUACCGCAUCGUGCGCCUGGCCACCGAGGAGAUCCUGGCGCUGCGCUGAGGCCCCC
Molecule: long non-coding RNA, 253 nt
Organism: Oxyura jamaicensis (ruddy duck)
Lineage: Eukaryota; Metazoa; Chordata; Aves; Anseriformes; Anatidae
Exons: 2
Source: RefSeq, a predicted model, not a curated record